AGAUUUGAUCCUGGCUCAGGACGAACGCUGGCGGCGUGCCUAACACAUGCAAGUCGAGCGGGGCAUGCGACGGAUAUGAAGUUUUCGGAUGGAAUAGAAGAUGUAUGUUCUAGCGGCGGACGGUGAGUAACGCGUGAGCAACCUGUCCCUUACAGGGGGAUAACACAGCGAAAGUUGUACUAAACCGCAUAAGACCACGGUGAGACAUCUCGCAGGGGUCAAAGGAGCAAUCCGGUAAGGGGUGGCUCGCGUCCGAUUAGAUAGUUGGUGAGGUAACGGCCCACCAAGUCGACGAUCGGUAGCGACCUGAGAGGGUGAUCGGCCACAUUGGGACUGAGACACGGCCCAAACUCCUACGGGAGGAGCAGUGGGGAAUAUUGGGCAAUGGGGGAAACCCUGACCCAGCAACGCCGCGUGAGGGAAAAGGUUUUCGGAUCGUAAACCUCUGUCCUUGGUGAAGAGGAAGAGACGGUAGCCAAGGAGAAGCCCCGGCUAACUACGUGCCAGCAGCCGCGGUAAUACGUAGGGGGCGAGCGUUGUCCGAAUGAUUGGGCGUAAAGGGCGCGUAGGCGGCCCGGUAAGUCUGAAGUGAAAGUCCUGUUUUAAGGUGGGAAUUGCUUUGGAUACUGUCGGGCUUGAGUGCAGGAGAGGUAAGUGGAAUUCCAGUGUAGCGGUGAAAUGCGUAGAGAUUGGGAGGAACACCAGUGGCGAAGGCGACUUACUGACUGUAACUGACGCUGAGGCGCGAAAGUGUGGGGAGCAAACAGGAUUAGAUACCCUGGUGUCCACACUGUAAACGAUGAAUGCUAGGUGUAGGGGGUAUCGACCCCUUCUGUGCCGCAGAAACACAAUAAGCAUUCCGCCUGGG
RNAcentral lists this ribosomal RNA (868 nucleotides) under uncultured bacterium. Its description in RNAcentral is "bacterial SSU rRNA". It matches the Rfam family "Bacterial small subunit ribosomal RNA", at positions 9 to 877 of the family's 1533-position model. The record is from RNAcentral.